AUGCUUGUGGAGAUCGACGCGACGGCGGAGGAAUUUGACGACGACACCGAGGACGAUGAGGCCGACACGUCCACGGCGCCACCAAUAGCGAGGAAGAGUAGAACAUGGGAGGCCGCCGGCGGUUGGGUCCCAGGAAGGCCACCGCCAUCUUGCCGGGCCACACAACCAGUGAGCUUGCCCGCUUUGUGGAGGAGGAGGAGGCCACUAUUCUUCCCCUCGUUGAAGCUAAAGCUAAACUUGGUGGGCUCAUUACCGGCCGGUGAGCUUGCCCGCUUCGCGGAGGCUAUUCUUCCCUUCCCGUUGAAGCUUCAUUUCCUGGGGCUCACGACCGUCCGGUGA
RNAcentral lists this ribosomal RNA (339 nucleotides) under Triticum aestivum (bread wheat). RNAcentral describes it as "partial small subunit ribosomal RNA". The record is from RNAcentral. Lineage: Eukaryota; Viridiplantae; Streptophyta; Magnoliopsida; Poales; Poaceae.